RNAcentral lists this ribosomal RNA (510 nucleotides) under uncultured bacterium. RNAcentral's name for it is "partial 16S ribosomal RNA". It matches the Rfam family "Bacterial small subunit ribosomal RNA", at positions 28 to 507 of the family's 1533-position model. The record is from RNAcentral.
GACGAACGCUGGCGGCGUGCUUAACACAUGCAAGUCGAACGAAGAGCGAUGGAAGCUUGCUUCUAUCAAUCUUAGUGGCGAACGGGUGAGUAACGCGUAAUCAACCUGCCCUUCAGAGGGGGACAACAGUUGGAAACGACUGCUAAUACCGCAUACGAUCUAACCUCGGCAUCGAGGACAGAUGAAAGGUGGACUCUAUGUAUAAGCUAUCACUGAAGGAGGGGAUUGGGUCUGAUUAGCUAGUUGGAGGGGUAAGGGCCCACCAAGGCGAUGAUCAGUAGCCGGUCUGAGAGGAAGAACGGCCACAGUGGGACUGAGACACGGCCCAGACUCCUACGGGAGGCAGCAGUGGGGGAUCUUCCGCAAUGGACGAAAGUCUGACGGAGCAACGCCGCGUGAGUGAUGACGGCCUUCGGGUUGGAAAGCUCUGUUAAUCGGGACGAAAGGCCUUCUUGCGAAUAGGGAGAAGGAUUGACGGUACCGGAAUAGAAAGCCACGGCUAACUACGUG